AGCAUAUCAAUAAGCGGAGGAAAAGAAACCAACAGGGAUUGCCCCAGUAACGGCGAGUGAAGCGGCAACAGCUCAAAUUUGAAAUCUGGCCUUCGGGUCCGAGUUGUAAUUUGUAGAGGAUGCUUUUGGCGAGGUGCCUUCCGAGUUCCCUGGAACGGGACGCCAUAGAGGGUGAGAGCCCCGUCUGGUCGGAUACCAAGCCUCUGUAAAGCUCCUUCGACGAGUCGAGUAGUUUGGGAAUGCUGCUCAAAAUGGGAGGUAUAUGUCUUCUAAAGCUAAAUAUUGGCCAGAGACCGAUAGCGCACAAGUAGAGUGAUCGAAAGAUGAAAAGCACUUUGAAAAGAGGGUUAAAAAGUACGUGAAAUUGUUGAAAGGGAAGCGCCUAUGACCAGACUUGGGCCCGGUGAAUCAUCCAGCGUUCUCGCUGGUGCACUUUGCCGGGCACAGGCCAGCAUCAGUUUGGCGCGGGGGAUAAAGGCUUUGGGAAUGUGGCUCCCUCGGGAGUGUUAUAACCCAUUGCGCAAUACCCUGCGCCGGACUGAGGUACGCGCAUCNNNNNNAUGCNGGCGUAAUGGUCAUCAGCGACCCGUC
Molecule: ribosomal RNA, 591 nt
Filed under: uncultured fungus
Lineage: Eukaryota; Fungi
Description: eukaryotic LSU rRNA
Rfam family: Eukaryotic large subunit ribosomal RNA
Source: RNAcentral